RNAcentral lists this ribosomal RNA (409 nucleotides) under uncultured soil bacterium. Its description in RNAcentral is "bacterial SSU rRNA". It matches the Rfam family "Bacterial small subunit ribosomal RNA", at positions 26 to 442 of the family's 1533-position model. The record is from RNAcentral.
AGAUUGAACGCUGGCGGCAUGCCUUACACAUGCAAGUCGAACGACAGCACGGGGGCAACCCUGGUGGCGAGUGGCGAACGGGUGAGUAACAUAUCGGAACGUGCCCUGGAGUGGGGGAUAACUAGUCGAAAGAUUAGCUAAUACCGCAUACGAUCUACGGAUGAAAGUGGGGGAUCGCAAGACCUCAUGCUCGUGGAGCGGCCGAUAUCUGAUUAGCUAGUUGGUGGGGUAAAGGCCUACCAAGGCAUCGAUCAGUAGCUGGUCUGAGAGGACGACCAGCCACACUGGGACUGAGACACGGCCCAGACUCCUACGGGAGGCAGCAGUGGGGAAUUUUGGACAAUGGGGGCAACCCUGAUCCAGCAAUGCGCGUGAGUGGAAGAGCCUCGGUUGUAAGCUCUUUGUCAGG